GGAGAGGUGGCCGAGUGGUUGAAGGCGCACGCCUGGAAAGUGUGUGACGCCAGAGAUGGUGUCCCAGGGUUCGAAUCCCUGCUUCUCCGCCA
Molecule: transfer RNA, 92 nt
Filed under: Candidatus Omnitrophota bacterium
Lineage: Bacteria; Pseudomonadati; Candidatus Omnitrophota
Description: Candidatus Omnitrophica bacterium (sediment metagenome) tRNA-Ser
Rfam family: tRNA
About the family: Transfer RNA (tRNA) molecules are approximately 80 nucleotides in length. Their secondary structure includes four short double-helical elements and three loops (D, anti-codon, and T loops). Further hydrogen bonds mediate the characteristic L-shaped molecular structure. tRNAs have two regions of fundamental functional importance: the anti-codon, which is responsible for specific mRNA codon recognition, and the 3' end, to which the tRNAs corresponding amino acid is attached (by aminoacyl-tRNA synthetases). tRNAs cope with the degeneracy of the genetic code in two manners: having more than one tRNA (with a specific anti-codon) for a particular amino acid; and 'wobble' base-pairing, i.e. permitting non-standard base-pairing at the 3rd anti-codon position.
Source: RNAcentral